Molecule: ribosomal RNA, 430 nt
Filed under: Pseudomonadota bacterium
Lineage: Bacteria; Pseudomonadati; Pseudomonadota
Description: Proteobacteria bacterium partial 16S ribosomal RNA
Rfam family: Bacterial small subunit ribosomal RNA
Source: RNAcentral
UGGGGAAUAUUGGACAAUGGGGGGAACCCUGAUCCAGCCAUGCCGCGUGUGUGAAGAAGGCCUUAUGGUUGUAAAGCACUUUAAGCGAGGAGGAGGGUACUGGUAUUAAUACUACCAGGUACUGGACGUUACUCGCAGAAUAAGCACCGGCUAACUCUGUGCCAGCAGCCGCGGUAAUACAGAGGGUGCGAGCGUUAAUCGGAUUUACUGGGCGUAAAGCGUGCGUAAGCGGCUAAUUGAGUCGGAUGUGAAAUCCCCGAGCUUAACUUGGGAAUUGCAUUCGAUACUGGUUAGCUAGAGUGUGGGAGAGGAUUGUAGAAUUCCAGGUGUAGCGGUGAAAUGCGUAGAGAUCUGGAGGAAUACCGAUGGCGAAGGCAGCCAUCUGGCCUAACACUGACGCUGAGGUACGAAAGCAUGGGGAGCAAACAGG